AUGGAGCUAUCCGAUGAAGUGAUGCAACAUUGGAGCCUUUGGGAAUUAAUUUAUAUGCGAAAGAAUAUUAAAUAAUUUUUAUUAGAGAAAUUAUAAUCCUUAUUUAUUGAUUUUUAUUAAAACAAAAAUUUUUUAGCUAUUUUAACUUAAGUUCCAUUUCAUUUUUUAAUUUUUUAUUAUUUGAUAUUUUUUCUUCAUUUUUUUCUAUUAAAACUUACACAUAAUUAAAGCAGUUUAUUUGUUUUGCUUUGUAAUAAUAUUGAUUAGUUUUUGGAGUACUCGUAAGGUAGCCAAAUGCCUCGUCGUUUAAUUAGUGACGCGUAUGAAUGGAUUAAUGAGAUUACCAUUGUCCCUAUCUACUAUCUAGCGAACCCAUAGCUAAGGGAACGGGUUUAGAAUAAUCAGCGGGGAAAGAAGACCCUGUUGAGCUUGACUCUAGUCUAACUUUGUGAAAUGGCACGUGAGCAAUAGAUCUUGUAAAACCUUACACUGCCCAUAUAAUCAUUUUGCUUAUUUCGUGAAUUUUGAAAAAAAUUAUUGAGCAGCAAAGCAGCAAAGCAGCAAAAGCAGCAAAGCAACAAAAGCAGCAAAGCAACAAAAGCAGACAGAGCAGCAAAAGCAGAAAGAGCAAAUAAUAUGUUUCAAGCAAAAAAGACCCUUCAACACUUUACAAAAAAACUUUUUCAUCAAAUUUUUUUAUUAAUAUCUAUUUUUACAACAAAUUUUUUU
RNAcentral lists this non-coding RNA (729 nucleotides) under Tetrahymena thermophila SB210. Its description in RNAcentral is "Eukaryotic large subunit ribosomal RNA". It matches the Rfam family "Eukaryotic large subunit ribosomal RNA", at positions 2222 to 2587 of the family's 3401-position model. The record is from Rfam by way of RNAcentral. Lineage: Eukaryota; Ciliophora; Oligohymenophorea; Hymenostomatida; Tetrahymenidae.